This is a long non-coding RNA of Diachasmimorpha longicaudata, 898 nucleotides long. RefSeq lists it as uncharacterized. Lineage: Eukaryota; Metazoa; Arthropoda; Insecta; Hymenoptera; Braconidae. The transcript has 3 exons. The record is from RefSeq and is a predicted model, not a curated record.
UUGCCACGUGAAUAGCUUGGAGCUCAGCGUAACGAGUCUCUUAAGUUCUCUUCAUAGAGCUCUCAACUAGAAUGUUUUUCUCUUCACAAUCAAAUUCACUAUGCAAACUUUAUUAUUUUUUUCAAACGAAAGUUGUAGUUUAACUCGACUUUCCUGACCUACUUGAAGGAGGGUCGAGAGUACGUUCACCUGUCACGAUAGGACAUUGAAAAAAAAAUGUCAGUUUUGCACUCUUCAGCGUAAUAUAGAUCUACUGCCCAUUGAGUGAAAAGAAUAAAACAACAGCAACUGGUCUUCAUAGCAUAGUUAUAGCUACGGAGAGACUAGAUACAAUGAGGAUUCUGCUCCACCUGGAGUUGAUUCGCUGGAGGUCUGAACGUGAGAGGAGCUCGUGAAUAUUGUGUGGAGGAUUUAAGACCCGGGAGAUUGUCUUUUCAUACGUUUGCCAUAAAACUUGAAUGCAAUUUGGAAUUCACAGCGGUAGAAAAUUACACCUUGCAUUUCUCAUGGGAUUUUUAAUCAUCUAAGGACAAUUUUCCAGUACGUAAAUGUGUUUAAGUAGGCAAACGUUCUGAAUGUCUAACGAGUCCUCUAAUUCAUUUGCUUCUACCGUAAUUUUCGAGCAGUAGGAAAAUCUUUGUAGGCCUUUGUAAAAUUAUGAUGUUACGUUUGUUGAUGUUGCAGUCGAGCUGCUGCUGUUUACCGUUCAGUAAUUUGACGAUUUAUUAUUUUUUAUUUGAAUACAUCUUACCACGAACACAUCUUAUGUAGUUAUUGAAUUCCUUUUGCAACUUGUUUGCUGCAUUCUGUUGUCUGGUGAAAUUCUGCAGGUGCUCGUCGAAAAUGUCAUCAGCAGUCCGGUCGACUUUUCCCAAAUUUUGAAGAAACUGUAAAUAAA